RNAcentral lists this unclassified non-coding RNA (201 nucleotides) under Hevea brasiliensis (rubber tree). Lineage: Eukaryota; Viridiplantae; Streptophyta; Magnoliopsida; Malpighiales; Euphorbiaceae. The record is from RNAcentral.
GAGCCUAACACUGAUGAUGGAGUCUGUUCCUCCUUUGAUGAUCGACCCGGUCCUUAUGUACACCGUGUACACGCAAUCAUCGUCGGCAGAAACAUCGACGGUUGAGACGGCUAGUAGAAGGAGAAAACAGAGAAGGCGAGCGUAAAAUGCCAUAUUUUUGUGAGGAAAUGCGAAGCUUUGGACUAUGCGGGUAGAGAUUGA